GCUUGGAAAGUAUAAUUCAGCAGUGAAGAGAGACAAUCCCAUUUCCAAGACCGCCCUUUCCUCUCCUUCCAAGUGACCACUAUGUUGGUCCAGGCAUUUAUCACAUCCCAGCGGGACUCCUGCAUCACCUCCCUGCCUCCAGUCUCUAUUUCACUCUGUUGCCCAGAGCACCUUUCUCAAACAACCACCAUUGUGCACACCUUUUCUCUGUGCAUCAAGUAAAAAUUCCCCUCCUACUUUGUCCACUAUCUUCUGCUCCUCUGCUUCAUUUCUCCUAAGUCAGCCCAAUCACCGCCCUACACUCUUGUCUCUCUCCUUCCUCCAGCCUCUUGGUAAUGUCCUUCCUCCUGGGGGGCACCCCCCACUUACAAACCCAUCUGCUCACGCCUCUCGCCAUCUUUUGAUUCCCCUGAAAUCACAACUACCAAGAGGCUUUCCUGGAAUUUUUUUUCCCCUCCAACUGCUUACCACGUGAGCACUUCUGUGCAAACUUGGGGCUCGUAACCACAUGUAGCACUUCUGUACCCAUCGAUCAUAUACCCUUUUAUUACAGCACAUCCUCAUCUAUUAGCCUCUGACGAGGAUUUUGUUGGAUCGGAAUUAGGGCUGCUUUUGCUGUUUCCCUUUGCUGAGGACCAAAAAAUCAGCCAUCCUGUACUUAAGGCUACUAAAUGAAGACAAGAAAACAGGACUCCAUCUAGGAGUCUUUCGGCCUCGGCACCCACAACUGAACCAAACAAGAUCAAAGUCCAGAAGACCUGGAUCCUGAAAGGAAUGGGAAGAGGAGAUGAAAAAUCCUGGUGAGGAGCAGCAGAGAAGUGGGGGUUGACGUCUGGCCCAAAUUCGGAAGGAUGUAGGAGCAGCGUCUCGGGAAGAGUUAUGGGAGGAAGAGAAGAGCACCCAGCAGAGCUGAAGCAACUGAUGAGACUGGUGGAAGCAGAUACCAUCCCUAGUGGACAUCUGAGGAACCCGAGGCUCAGAGUACCCCAAGGUCACAGUGGCAGGGCUGGGGCUAGAUCCCCAAGCCUUCUGUGUCUCAACCUUGGACCACAUGCUUGCUACCAUUUCAGCUGAAAGAACUUACCCUUUGCCUGAAUUUGAAUUUACACAAGGUAGGCCCAGCUAGAAAGCCCUGAACAUUCUCUUGUAAGCCAGGCAGCCCCUGUAUUUCUUUGACAAAUCCAAUGCGACUGCCCAGUUCCCUGCUUCCUCCUCACCCCCAGCCCCACCUACGCCCAGCAGUGCAUUUUCCACUGUUUUGAGAAUCUGAAAUUUGAUUUUUUGGAACCAAUUCCACAUCCAGCUCUGUAGCACAAACAGCAGUUGAGAGGAUUAAGGGCAAUAACGAGCUGCGGCACACGACUGACCCGACUGAGGACAUGGUCAAAUGAACGGCCAAGCUGCCAAUUCCGUGCUGCCUCUGGGAAGGCCUUUGUCUGUUCCCCUGGGGUGGUACUCACCUGUCCUUCUUGGGGGACGGACAUGGUUCCACAGAAGAGAACAGAAAUGCCAUCCCUGGCCUGGUGAGCAGUGUAGGCCCGUGAGGUGCUCCACUACUCCACGUGCACACAUGCAUACACAUGCUCAUACGUACAAAUACUCACUUGCCCCUACAAGCCUGGCACCCACAUUGGCUCAUGAGAGGGAUUUCUUUGGAUUUUAAACAAGUUACAGUGCAGAGGCCAGAUUGGGGGAGGGGAGAGGGUGAUGUGACUAAGGUAAAAUGCAGACUGAAAUUUCAAGCCAUAGUUUUCUGACUCACAUACGACAACGCCCCCAUGGCAAAGUCUCCUCGGUGACAUCACUCCUUCCCAGCACCGACAGGAGACCCAAGAGGCUAAAGCAAAUGUUUGACCUCGCAGCUAAGCUCCCUGCUGGCAUUUAGAAGAAUGUUAGAAGACAACCCAAGCUUAGCCACCUCCCAGUCUCCAUCUGGAUGUCAGGGCUCUCUGCCAAAGUGAGAAGAAUGAAAGAAGUUCAACAGGACCCAGCCUCCACUUACCCUUUUAGCAGAGUGGAGAGAGGGGAAAGAUGACCGAGCUUUCUGCAAACCCAUCCCAAGAUGCAUCUGCCAUUCUAUGGACAGCAGUGGCCAUCUUGACAAUUCAUCACAUGGUGAGUUCCGGCUGACCCCAGCAGGACAAGGGUGGACUUGACAAAUGGACUUCAAGACCAUUUUGGUGAGUGAAAGCCUUGAGGCAUUUACCAGAUACUCUGAAUAUGAUGUCUUUUCAGGCUUACAAGAAAGUUGUGGAGACUGAAACCUCGUUCAACUGGGAAUAGCCCUGAAAAGUGCAGACCCUGCUUCUGCCGAGAAAGUCUGUCUCUCUCCCUCCCUCCCUCCCACCACCACCCAGAUUAACAUCAGUGUUCCUGGCUCAGUCUUGCACACAGUGUUUGGUACACCAGGAGACUCCCUCAAUUCCUCCCUUAUGCAGAUGCUAGGCCUUCUUUCUCCUCCUGGGAAACCAGCACCCAACUGUGACACCACCUUGUGCCUCAAGCUCCCCAGCUGACACAACCACGGGGACCAAGGACCACCCACAGACAACCCCACCGGGCCUGUCGCCAAGAUACUGACAAACCCCAGAGUGGGUGGGCAGUCAGACCUACACCUGCUUGCUCUCUCUAGAGAAAUGGGUUACCUUAAGCUUGUUGAUACUCUCCCCCAGCCGCUAUGCAAAUAACCUUAUCCUCUAUUUCCCCUUCUGGAAUUUCUUUUAAUGUCUGUUGGCCCACCCUAGACUCCUUGAUGGCAGGGUGUGUCUACCAAUCCCUACUAUACCAUCCUCUCACGAGCGCUUAGUCCAGUGGUCUGCACACAGUAAAUGCUCAAUAAAUACCAUUGAUUGAAUGAUUGAUACCUGACAGGGGGUCACAUGGGUUAGAUCUAGCCCUCGCAGGCCUGGGCUUUAUGGCGACAGUCAAGCUUGGCAGUGGCGGGGGCAGCAGAAGCAGGAUCUUAGGGUGCCGGUGGGCACCGCGCACCGGCUGAGUCGCUUAAAGCCCACAGGGAGCAAGCCGGCCGGCUGCAGGCGAUAUCUGCAAAAGCAAGAGACUUGUAAAGCGGAACAGGUAGAAGAAACAGCCAGAUUCAUAUGCUGAGGACUUAGUCCAAGCAUCUGAAGUGGCACGAUGCAAAAAUGCAGAACUUGAGAGACCACAUUACCUCAUCUUGCCUUACUACGUUUUCAAGGAGAGUAGCCAAGAGACGAACUCUCCAAUACACUUAGCACUCAUCGUGACUAUCACGCUGGUAACAGGGGCAGCGGUAUCCUCAAUCCUACAGAUGAACUCCACCGGCCACAGGAAGAUUUCAGGGGUUGGGGAGGUGGUGGUGGUUGGGGGAGGGGUGGUUAUGGCUAUCCUCGCUUGCCAAUUUACAGCAGCCAUUUUAGAUAGUGAGAUGAUGACCAGCAGGGACCAUUCGGGAACACAAUUUCAAGGCUGAAGAAGGGAAGUUUAGCUCACUUGCAAGUCGUUUGGAGCCCCCCUGGAGGCAUUCUUCCUCAGCCCAGUCUCUCUGGAUCAUUCACGAUCAGUCAGGACAGCCCCUCCACCACCCGUAGUCCUCUUUCUCCUCACAGGUUUACCUCUUGGCCACUUGACCUCGCCCCUUCAAACAGGGAUGAGAAGAAUUCCCUCGAGUCCAGUGACUUAUACCCUACUGCAUGAGAGCAGUGGGUUUCCAUUCCUAGAGGGAGAAGCAAGAAGACAAGGAGGACAAAGAAGAGUAGCUGGGCAAGACAAGCUGCUCAGCUCACCUCUAAACUCCUUGCAAGAACCGAUCCAGUCUAAAAGUGACAGAAAAAAGCCAACUGUGGGAAACAGCUGCCAUCCCAUCUAUCCACCAGGAGCACAGAGCUAUAAACAUCAUUAAAAUUUAUUAACAAAA
Ornithorhynchus anatinus (platypus) is the source of this 3895-nucleotide long non-coding RNA. RefSeq lists it as uncharacterized. NCBI's taxonomy places the organism in Eukaryota, Metazoa, Chordata, Mammalia, Monotremata, Ornithorhynchidae. The transcript is spliced from 3 exons. The record is from RefSeq and is a predicted model, not a curated record.